This 442-nucleotide ribosomal RNA is filed under the name uncultured bacterium. Its description in RNAcentral is "partial 16S ribosomal RNA". It matches the Rfam family "Bacterial small subunit ribosomal RNA", at positions 338 to 795 of the family's 1533-position model. The record is from RNAcentral.
CCUACGGGGGGCAGCAGUGGGGAAUAUUGGGCAAUGGGCGCAAGCCUGACCCAGCAACGCCGCGUGAAGGAAGAAGGCUUUCGGGUUGUAAACUUCUUUUAAGGGGGAAGAGCAGAAGACGGUACCCCUUGAAUAAGCCACGGCUAACUACGUGCCAGCAGCCGCGGUAAUACGGAGGUGGCAGGCGUUGUCCGGAUUUACUGGGUGUAAAGGGCGUGCAGCCGGAGAGACAAGUCAGAUGUGAAAUCCACGGGCUCAAACCGUGAACUGCAUUUGAAACUGUUUCCCUUGAGUGUCGGAGGGGUAAUCGGAAUGCCUGGUGUAGCGGUGAAAUGCGUAGAUAUAAGGAAGAACACCAGUGGCGAAGGAGGAUUACUGGACUACAACUGACGGUGAGGCGCGAAAGCGUGGGGAGCAAACAGGAUUAGAUACCCGAGUAGUC